UGGACGGACGCUCUGCGGGUAGUGCCACCCAUCCAUCCCCGACCCACCGUCCCUUAUAGACCUUGUUUUAUAACGGUCGACGCGACAGCAAAGAGAGAAACUGUCCUCAGUGAGGUUCGAAGCUGCGAUCUCCCGAUCGCAAGAAUGUUGACUGGACGGACGCUCUGCGGGUAGUGCCACCCAUCCAUCCCCGACCCACCGUCCCUUAUAGACCUUGUUUUAUAACGGUCGACGCGACAGCAAAGAGAGAAACUGUCCUCAGUGAGGUUCGAAGCUGCGAUCUCCCGAUCGCAAGAAUGUUGACUGGACGGACGCUCUGCGGGUAGUGCCACCCAUCCAUCCCCGACCCACCGUCCCUUAUAGACCUUGUUUUAUAAAGCCCUGGCGGGCGAGAGAAACGAGAGAAACUGUCCUCAGUGAGGUUCGAAGCUGCGAUCUCCCGAUCGCAAGAAUGUUGACUGGACGGACGCUCUGCGGGUAGUGCCACCCAUCCAUCCCCGACCCACCGUCCCUUAUAGACCUUGUUUUAUAACGGUCGACGCGACAGCAAAGAGAGAAACUGUCCGCAGUGAGGUUCGAAGCUGCGAUCUCCCGAUCGCAAGAAUGUUGACUGGACGGACGCUCUGCGGGUAGUGCCACCCAUCCAUCCCCGACCCACCGUCCCUUAUAGACCUUGUUUUAUAAAGCCCUGGCGGGCGAGAGAAACGAGAGAAACUGUCCUCAGUGAGGUUCGAAGCUGCGAUCUGCCGAUCGCAAGAAUGUUGACUGGACGGACGCUCUGCGGGUAGCGCCACCCAUCCAUCCCCGACCCACCGUCCCUUAUAGACCUUGUUUUAUAACGGUCGACGCGACAGCAA
Long non-coding RNA from Brienomyrus brachyistius, 857 nucleotides. RefSeq lists it as uncharacterized. The transcript is spliced from 6 exons. NCBI's taxonomy places the organism in Eukaryota, Metazoa, Chordata, Actinopteri, Osteoglossiformes, Mormyridae. The record is from RefSeq and is a predicted model, not a curated record.